This 84-nucleotide transfer RNA is filed under the name Planctomycetota bacterium. RNAcentral describes it as "Planctomycetes bacterium (bioreactor metagenome) tRNA-Leu". It matches the Rfam family "tRNA". From Rfam's summary of the family: Transfer RNA (tRNA) molecules are approximately 80 nucleotides in length. Lineage: Bacteria; Pseudomonadati; Planctomycetota. The record is from RNAcentral.
GCCGAAGUGGCGGAAUUGGCAGACGCGCCAGAUUCAGGUUCUGGUGGGUGCAAGCCCUUGGAGGUUCGAGUCCUCUCUUCGGCA